RNAcentral lists this ribosomal RNA (759 nucleotides) under Vibrio mediterranei AK1. RNAcentral's name for it is "bacterial LSU rRNA". It matches the Rfam family "Bacterial large subunit ribosomal RNA", at positions 2181 to 2925 of the family's 2925-position model. Lineage: Bacteria; Pseudomonadati; Pseudomonadota; Gammaproteobacteria; Vibrionales; Vibrionaceae. The record is from RNAcentral.
UGGAGGCAAUCUUGAAAUACCACCCUUGUAUGUUUGAUGUUCUAACUUGGUUCCCUAAUCGGGAAUGAGGACAGUGCCUGGUGGGUAGUUUGACUGGGGCGGUCUCCUCCCAAAGAGUAACGGAGGAGCACGAAGGUGGGCUAAUCACGGUUGGACAUCGUGAGGUUAGUGCAAUGGCAUAAGCCCGCUUGACUGCGAGAAUGACAAUUCGAGCAGGUGCGAAAGCAGGUCAUAGUGAUCCGGUGGUUCUGAAUGGAAGGGCCAUCGCUCAACGGAUAAAAGGUACUCCGGGGAUAACAGGCUGAUACCGCCCAAGAGUUCAUAUCGACGGCGGUGUUUGGCACCUCGAUGUCGGCUCAUCACAUCCUGGGGCUGAAGUCGGUCCCAAGGGUAUGGCUGUUCGCCAUUUAAAGUGGUACGCGAGCUGGGUUUAGAACGUCGUGAGACAGUUCGGUCCCUAUCUGCCGUGGGCGUUGGAAGAUUGAAGGGGGCUGCUCCUAGUACGAGAGGACCGGAGUGGACGAACCUCUGGUGUUCGGGUUGUGUCGCCAGACGCAUUGCCCGGUAGCUAAGUUCGGAAUCGAUAACCGCUGAAAGCAUCUAAGCGGGAAGCGAGCCCUGAGAUGAGUCUUCCCUGGCGCUUAAAGCGUCCUAAAGGGUUGUUCGAGACUAGAACGUUGAUAGGCAGGGUGUGUAAGCGUUGUGAGGCGUUGAGCUAACCUGUACUAAUUGCCCGUGAGGCUUAACCAUACAACACCC